Molecule: transfer RNA, 33 nt
Filed under: Rosa arabica
Lineage: Eukaryota; Viridiplantae; Streptophyta; Magnoliopsida; Rosales; Rosaceae
Description: partial tRNA-Val
Source: RNAcentral
GUAAUUAGUUAAAUUUCUAUUUAACAAAUAGAA